GGAAUGGCAAACGCCGAAGAACUCUCAGGACGGCUGCUUGGAGGGAAAAGAGCAGCCCCUCUAACCAAGCGCUUUUUUGCUCCGGUACAAAUCACUGCUCGGCCCGGCAGGCCCAGAGGGGAGAGCACUUUUCUUCACCUCAUCGUCAGGCUUUGGAAUCCUGUUCUACUUUUCCAGAUGGCUUCAGCAGCAGACUUCGCUGGUCCUGCUUCCGUUGACCCGCCCAGUUAUCCCAUCCGUCCAACCCAAGCAACCCAGUCACCACUGGCUUUAACUGUGCGGGACUGGGAACCUAAUCCCAGUGACUCGCUGGAGACCAAUUUGUGAAGUGGUUGAUGGAAAUCCCUACCCCCCUAUCUCUGGCAGAGCUUCGCCUGCACCCAGCGAAUGGACUAAUUGAUUUACGGUUAACCGAGUGGAAGGAUCAAAACGUCCCGUCUCUGUUCUUUGAUGGCUGGAUGAACCUCGGGCAAAUUUAAUCACAGGAGACUUUAUUGAAGUCUGAACACAGCGUGAACUCAGAGUCCGAGAAGUUUCCAAGAGAAGUCAUCGUCCACGCCGACCAAAGGUUCCUAACUCACUGUAGCUAACUCUGUUCAGUUGGUAUAUUGGAGGAUUGUGGGAAAUAAACACGGUCUAUGAAUUUUAUAGAGCCGGAUUGCCAGAGACAUAGAUUGUGCAGACAUUAUAGAGCUCUAAACUGAAAAACUCAGAGUCAAGAAAACACAGUCGACCCUGUUAACUGGAUGCUAAAUCGCACAUAAACUAUAAAAUAUAAAUGAAACCAUUACAAUUAAAAAUGGUGGCUUCGGGGGCUAUGAUCUGAGUCGUCGCUAACUUUUUCUACUUUGCUUCGUUGAUAACAUUAACACGCAGACGUCUGUUCAAAUGCUAGAGUCAAAAAAGAUGUUUAUGAGACCUGGAAUAAUAAGAAAGUCGUCGGCUGGAAGCGCUAAAAUGUCAAGUCGUUCAUGUGGAACUUGUCUGGGAAAGAACGGUUUAUCAAAUUGGAGCCGGAUGCAGUCCUUCACUGCUAACUUUCUCUUUUGGUUCUGGUGGAAAUACUUACAAUCUGAGCGACACACCACAUAAGACAACCAGUGUGUCGCAGGUGCGUAAUUGAGCCGUUCUCCCAUUCUGCUGUGGGACAUUUGAGACUAUUUAUUGAGGCUAGUGGGGCUCUUGGAGUCCUCUCAGUUUCCACCAGCUGAAAAAGACUUUCCAGCUUAGAUAGGAGCCGGCUGAAAGGCAGAGCCAAGUAAGAGCCAGGUUUUGGACUCCAGGCCAAAAUUUUCCCCAGCUGCUUCCACCAAAGCAAUAUGCAGACCCAGGUGUUCGGGCGAGAUUUGAAAUCCAAGCCCCCACAGUUUAACUGUUCCACAACCCCCAAUCCCGUAUCUUCUCUCUCUUUAUCCCUCCUCGGUGCUCUUAAGGCCAUAUCUUUUGUCUUUUUUUUGUUUUUUUCUUCUAGCUGGCACGGACAAAGCUGUUAUUAUUAGAGUGCACUGGGUUACUCUAAAAUUAAAAGAGGACGUUUCAAACAACUUUUUCCGUACUGAACCUCACGUUCCGUACAGGAUAUCGUAAAUCCUAUACCCUCCCAGCGUGAAAAUAAAAAAGAGCAACACUGAAGAAAUAGACAUGAGCUUUCCCCAAUGUGCGUAUCAGUUGGAUUAAGAAUUACUUGCUGCAUUAAAUCUGCUCCAGCCAUGUUGGCAGGCGGACGUGGACAUCACUCUCACUCUCUUGUCUGUUUCCUCUUUAAACGCCUUUUACGUCAUCUCCAUAAUGUCAAGUCUGCGGUCUGUUUCUACUGAUUUAAAGGCCCCGGGAUGUCUUUUCUAUAAGCUAACAUCCCAUCCUUUAAGUUGGGAAAACAGCAAAAUAAAGUUAGUGAAACAGCCCACGCCCGCAAGCUCGCCCUCCUGGAGUGGAACCAUCAACACCUUCUGCAAAUGAUGAAGAAAUCCACCAUUUUUAGUCUUAAAACUUCACAACAAGCACGUGAAGGUGAUUUGUUUUUAUAACUCCUACAUACUGAUGACAUUAAAGCUGAAAAAUGUGCUUAAUAAGGUAAAGGAGGGCGUCUUAAAGGACUGACAGGUGGGCAUGUAGUAGCUGUUCACCUCUUCGCAGGUUUAGAAGUGAGUUAAGGACAGCUUCGACAGCAUGAGCGCCAUCAUUACCGGGCUGACACCUCUUUAACGCCUCUACAGAAACCAUUGUGUGAUAUUUCUGUUAUAAAUAGUGAGUGUAAAUGACACAGGAGCCUUUGUGCAACAACUCUCAUCAGCUCUAAUGUCAUUUAGGGUUAGCUUUAAAAUAUCUUUAAGUGUUAAACCAUCCAAAUAUCAGGGUUAGAAGAGAAAAAAAAGUGCUUAGAUAGGGUACGAACUUGACCCACAUUUAUGGGAUGGGAAAGACUGUAACCUUAAAAGGUAAAUUAACGUAAAUUAUUUAGGGUGACCAUAUUCUGAAUCUCCAAAAAGAGGACACGACUAAGCAGGGACUUUGAGAGUUUUUCGGGUCGGGUCAAGUGUUUUUAACGAGCUUCUAACUCAGUUAGUCCAUGCAACACAAACUCAAAACUUCCAUACAAAACCCCGCACAUUUAAAAGCAUUUUAUAAACAAAGACAAGGACGGACAGCCCCCCAAAAAGAGGACAUGUCUGGAUAAAAGAAGACGUAUGGUCUCCCUAAAUUAUUAUGUUAUCUUAAUCUUAUCAAAUCCAUGAAAAGGAAGUGAAGAAAUCCCAGAAAUAGAGGGGUGGACAUGGGUGCUAGAAAGAAGCAGGUCCACGAUCCAGAGGAACCUGAUGGAGCUCAGGGACUCCCAGAAAAAAAUAUUUAUUAUUGACUCUAAUAGGACAUGAUAGGACAGAAAAAGGAUGGAGGAGGGAAAGGUGCUCAGUGUAAGCAGUCUAAAUCUACAGAAGCCGAACUAAUAGGGCGCUCACACCAAGCGCGAGUAAAAUCAUCCACUCGCUUAAUUUGCGCAAAUCUAGACACGUGAAUGAAAAGUAUUUACUCGCUUCAUUCGCGUGUCAACGGUAAUCCCUGCCAAUACAACCUGCGGGAUCAAGUGAUAGACAAAUGUUUUUUUCAAUUUACCGGGUAAUCCGACCUCCUCACUCAAUCGCCUCCAGGCGAGCUCCUUUUUAUUCCAGUUUCAGUAACUGAAAGAAAAGGUAUCAUAUAAUUCCUGGCACCCACACACUGACACAAUCAGUUUUUCCUCCAUUUUAGAUACCAGUGAACAACCGUCCAUCACCCGGCAACCUUUGUGCUGAUUAGUUAUAGCAUCAUGAAUAUCUGCUCAAGUUGAGACAUUUUCAGCUUCUGCCUAAUUCACGUCAUUCGCACCGCUAGAGUAGUAGGAGCGUCUAAUCGCGUCUUUGCAUUGACUUAACAUGUAAUUCAUUCGCGCGAAUGAUUUUACUUGUGCUUGGUGUGUGGAGACAGUAAGAGCUAGUCCAGACCUGAACCAGAUCAACUAUAAGUUUUAUCAAGAUUACUCUUAUAGGUAGAGAGGGUGUUCGACUUCCUGCACUUUGACUGGUAGAUGAUUCCAGAGGAGAUGGACCUAGCUAGACCACUUUUAGGGACUCAAGGUUCGAUGAGCAGGCCUGCACAUUUGGACCACAGUGGUAAUAGGGAACUGCAAAGUCUUUCAGAUAUGAUAGGUUAGAAAAAGAAAUGAAAUAGAUUUGUCUGCUGAAAUCACUGCUAAAAACUCUAAUUUUAGAAAUCCCCUUGAAUGAAAAUGUAAAGUUUAAACAGUUGUAAUCAGUUGACAUAAUAAUGCCACUAAUAAAUGUGUUUGUUUUGACAUCUCUGUGGUAAAACAGUGUCCUGCUGAUAGUUCACACUGCGCCCCUCCCAGCUGAUUACUGCAAAAGGAGUCGAUUAAUUAUUCAUGUGGACAAAUUGAGUAAUUCCUCUGCAUAUAUAAUACAUUCCAUCAGGAAUUAGCUGCACGUCAUGUGUUGGGCGAGGGAGGCGGUAAAACGUAUGUGUGUGUGUGUAUGUGCGUGCAUGUGUAUUAAGGGGGGAUUUAGGUUAAUGAGAAAAGUUCACAGAAAGUCCACCCUCCCUGAUUCCAUCUUCAGCUCCCAACACAAAGGCAGGCAGAGUCCACAUGCAGUUGCAGGGAAGAAAGACGAGGUGACAGGUUCAAAAGUUCAGCCACUGCUUUAGACUCACUUCGCAUGCCACUACCAUUCGGCACACCCUGGUCCUUUGGAGAUGUCAGGGGGAACCUCAUUUACUGUUCUGUACCCAGCGCUGGGUGGCAAGACUCUCCACAGGGGAAUACCAAAGUGGGAAGAAGAGGAGGAGGGGGGAAGUGCUGUGAAAAAGAGCCCCUGUCCCUGCCACGUCCUCCUUGAUGAAUUUGUAAAACAGAUCCAUGAUGUCUCACUGGAGACAAGUUGUGCCAUGGCCCCCUUUUCAGAUGCGCUAAUCUCUGAAUGGUUGUUACCAUCACAUGAGAUACCGUGAAAUCAAUUCCUUCACCUGCGACCUCUGAAUGCUAUGGGAUGUUUAAGUGUCACACAGUAAAUAAAAUACAGUAUAAAACUCCCAGAACAGCACUCUUCCUCUCUUUCUCCUUGUAUAUUCCUAAUUUUAAGACUUGGGAAUAGACCGGUCUUUAUCUACGGUGACAAAUGUUGAUAUAAUCUUAAAUUUAUUGAUGUCUCGACCUCUUUAUUUAAUUUAACUUUCACUACAACUUUGAAGACGUCUUUUAUCACCUCGAACCAUAUCACCAUACAGGGUUAUGCUCCUAGAUCUCCUGAGAGAGAUCCUCUCCCAGUAGAGAUCCCAAUCAGAUAUUACGCAACUGCUUUUACUGGCUCUGGAGUCGAGAUCCUGAUAGUGAGCUCUGGAGAGCCGUUUCAUAAUCUGACGGAUGACGUACCUGCUCGCUCUACAUGGUGGUUUAUGUAUCACUGCCAUAAUACACAAAUGAGACCCAGUAGAUCACAAUGGACGCAAACCUGCAUGGAAGUAAAGUCUAGAACCAGAUUUAAAAUUUCUGCUGUUAAAAAAAAGAAGAGUUAAUAUGAAAGUGCAGAAAACUGUAGUUCCUUGAUUGUCCACUGGAGGCAGAAUCCCUACAUUGGUCCUAUUUAAAAAUAAAGCGGGGAAACAUUUUUGCCUCUUUUAGACAAAAAUACCUCAAGAUUACUAAAGUCAGACUGUUGACUAUUAGUCUACUACUAGUAUUGGGUCUGGGGCUCAUUUAUUUACUUGCACACUGUAAACUACGACAAGAAACUUUGCCCAAAAAACACUCAAACCUAAAGACACUGGGAAAAUCAAUAGGAGAUCAGGUAUAGAUAUGACAUACAUUCACAUACAGACAAUGAACCAACGAAGAAAGAAGGGAGGACAGAGAUUAUUUAGACACACUCGUAAAUGAGCAACAGGUGUGACUGACGAGACACAGGUGAGACUCGUUAGUGAUUGACAGAGGAGGGAAAACAGAGCAAGUAGAAACCAGACUGAUAAACACAAGGAUUGACUACUACAAAAUAAAACAGGAAACACUGAAAACUGAACUAAGAAACCAAACUGUGAAAAACAUGAAUAACAGGAACAGAAUAACCCAUCUGUGGAGACUAAAAUAAAGGUUAAAAGUUAAAAAUCUGCCUCUUUUGCUCUUUUCAACUCCUCAGGUCGAGCCAGCGUUUCUAAGACAACCGUGCCUGCUAUCAUUUGGCUUAAAACAGCCCUCCAGAAACCGAUGGGUGAAGCAACAGAG
Molecule: non-coding RNA, 5767 nt
Organism: Xyrichtys novacula (pearly razorfish)
Lineage: Eukaryota; Metazoa; Chordata; Actinopteri; Labriformes; Labridae
Source: the annotation of a GenBank genome assembly